Acanthosepion pharaonis is the source of this 109-nucleotide non-coding RNA. NCBI's taxonomy places the organism in Eukaryota, Metazoa, Mollusca, Cephalopoda, Sepiida, Sepiidae. The record is from the annotation of a GenBank genome assembly.
GGCUAUUUCAUGUUGAAACACUGGUUUUCAUUAGAUCACCAAAGUUAAGCAAUAUCAAGCCUGGUCAGUACCUAGACGGGUGACUGCUUGGAAAUAUCAGGUGCUGUAA